CUGGCUUCUAGGAGCAUGUGCACAUCUGUCAUUUUUAUCUAUCCACCUGUGCACCUUUUGUAGUCUUUGGAGGUAAUAAGCGUGAAUCAAUCGAGGUCCUCUGGUCCUUGGANAGAGGUGUUUGCCGUAUGGCUCGCCUNUGAUACUCGCGAGUUACUCUAAGACUAUGUCCUUUCAUAUACUACGAAUGUAAUAGAAUGUAUUCAUUGGGCCUCAGUGCCUAUAAAACAUAUACAACUUUCAGCAACGGAUCUCUUGGCUCUCGCAUCGAUGAAGAACGCAGCGAAAUGCGAUAAGUAAUGUGAAUUGCAGAAUUCAGUGAAUCAUCGAAUCUUUGAACGCACCUUGCGCUCCUUGGUAUUCCGAGGAGCAUGCCUGUUUGAGUGUCAUUAAAUUCUCAACCCCUUCCGGUUUUUUGACUGGCCUUGGGGCUUGGAUGUGGGGGAUUCAUUUGCGGGCCUCUAUAGAGGUCGGCUCCCCUGAAAUGCAUUAGUGGAACCGUUUGCGGUUACCGUCGCUGGUGUGAUAAUUAUCUACGCCAAAGACAAACUGCUCUCUGAUAGUUCUGCUUCCAACAGUCCAUUUAUUGGACAACAUUAUUAUGAACACUUGACCUCAAAUCAGGUAGGACUACCCGCUGAACUUAAGCAUAUCAAUAAGCGGAGGA
RNAcentral lists this ribosomal RNA (667 nucleotides) under uncultured fungus. RNAcentral's name for it is "eukaryotic LSU rRNA". The stretch from base 236 to 389 matches the Rfam family "5.8S ribosomal RNA". The record is from RNAcentral. Lineage: Eukaryota; Fungi.